UUUUUACUAGCCAUGUGCGCCCAACUACGUUGCGCGUGUUAAAGUUGUCUGUGAAGGGCUCCCUGUUUAAACGUGGCUGCCAGUCGUGAACUGGGCCCUUCGUCGCACAGCAUUAUGAUUUUUUAUAAGGGAAACAAAAUUACAAAAGAAAACCCUUGGACAUUGAUUCGAUAGGAACGGCCUACUCGGAAUCACUGUCCGAAUAGUAAUUAUGUGGUGGUGUAGGAGCAUUUCUGCUUCUCUCCGUUCACAGUCCGUCUCGUUUUCACGACGCUGUCGUUUCCUCUCACGAUCUCUUCUCAACCUUUCUCCAGUCUCGCAGGUUGCUUUGUGGCAAUCCAAAGAGUAAGGCAAUAUACACGGAGCAAUGGUUAUAAAAGGGGGACACACAGGCUCUUUAAAGCAUAAAUAGGAAUCACUUCACUGACAUGUGAGCAAGCCACGGUACAACUGUGAGACGCGCAGCACUCGCCGGCUACAACGUAACAAUAAUAAUUUCCGGAACGUGCUGUUACGUUGUCGUUCAUUUUACCCACUGUCUUUCUUUCAUUCAUAUGUUACGUAGACACGUACCUUUUAUCUUCGCCAAUCUCAUUCUCUAACCAGGCCUCACGAGCUAACCAGCGUAACACUGUCCACCACCCCUUUCGUUAUUCCGGCACAUUGUUGACAUCCGUGAGUAACAACAACGUACUAAACUGGAAGGUGGUCUACGCAUGCGUGGAAUUCGCAGACAAACAAAGAUCAAGAUCCAAAUGAAGAUUAUAUAUAAAGAUUAGUUAAUUUAAAGCACAACAAUUUGUUUAGUUUGAAUGUCUGUGUUUUGAGGUGUGACUGGAGUACUACAGUCUUCAGUAGUAUAAGCCUGGAGGAGAUUCUUAAUGCAAUGCCUAUGUUUUAGCUGUCUCUCUACUGCCAUCUAGUGCUGCUUCUUCUAAUUCAUUCGCGGACAAACAAAGAUCAAGAUCCAAAUGAAGAUUAUAUA
This is a long non-coding RNA of Erpetoichthys calabaricus (reedfish), 985 nucleotides long. RefSeq lists it as uncharacterized. NCBI's taxonomy places the organism in Eukaryota, Metazoa, Chordata, Cladistia, Polypteriformes, Polypteridae. The record is from RefSeq and is a predicted model, not a curated record. The transcript has 2 exons.